This 2052-nucleotide long non-coding RNA is filed under the name Drosophila guanche. Lineage: Eukaryota; Metazoa; Arthropoda; Insecta; Diptera; Drosophilidae. The record is from RNAcentral.
CUUCUGAUCUUGCAUGCGUUCUCUGAAACGCACGUACAGUGGGGAAGGGUCAAUAUUGUUGCGAUAAAAUAAGAAAGACUGUUCCCAAAAAAAUUGUCUUAAUACAAUUUUAGUACAGGCAUUCUAAAUUUUAUUUUUGGUCUGCAACCUUCACAAAUUUUAUUAUUUAUUUGAAUUUUGUGAAGUAGAUUUGUCGCAGAAGUUCUUCGUAUGGUGUGUGGUUCUUGAAUUCGUCUAUUAGAGCAUUUUUCAGCUCCAGCCAGGUGUUGGGUUGCACCAUUUGUGAGAGUCGUUGUGCUUCUUCGGUCAGCUGCACCUCAAUGGCUCCAAACAGUAUUCGUGACUGUCUGGUUUAUUGCGUCGGGUACAGUUCUUGUAUGUACUCAACGCGUUUUUGUGAAGGAGCUCAGCUUCAUGCGUAUGUGGGUGUAGGGCAUUAUGGAUAUGUUACUAUAUGUACGUUUUGGCGUCUGUUCGUCGCAGUAUAAGAAAAUACAUACAGAGCGUUUUUCUGUUUCUGGCGUGUCGUCGCAGUUUCUGCAGAACAUGAACAGACAGAUUAAAAGUAAAAAUUCGCCAGACGCACAAGCUAGGAGGCUGGAAGCUGACCGCCUUAUGACAGAAGCAGAGAUGAGUUUGCUCCAGAGGAAGCCAGCCAUGGAAGAACUGCGUAAGGCGAGCGUGGACGAAUUAGCCAACUUCAAGGAGGUUAUGCAGAUUAUGGAACCGCAUGGAUGGAAGAGUUUGAGCUGAACUGCAAGGGGACGGAUGCGUUUAAGCUCAGGUGCGUGCGACGUUUAAUGAAGGCGGACGCGGACGCAGAAUUGUUUCUGAAAGUAAGCAAAGCUACGUCGUAUGCUGCCUUUAAGAAAGAUUUCCUGGACACAUUCGGCAGGAUUUCCUCAAUAGUAGAGGUAAUAAACACGCUCAAAUCUAUUGUUUAUCUCCCGGGAAAGAUGUCAGUUCUAGGUUAUGUACUGUAAAUGCAAGAAAUUGCGCAACGAGCUCCGAUCGAAGAAGAACAAGUCGUACAGUUCGUGAUCGAAGGGCUAAAAGACGAUUCCGCGGACAUUGCUAUAUUCUAUUCGACCAAAACUAUUGGCGAACUUGUGAAGCAGUCAUACCGUUACGAAAAAAUGCGUAAAAAAUGUUGGAGCGUAGGUUGGCAAAGAAGCUGAUGGGACACAAUAGCUGUAGUGGCGCUGGUAGUUGCAGCUGAACGCAAAUGAUUAAAAUCAGUGAAUGAUAUUAUCGCAUGCGAUCAAAUUGGAUAAACUAUGCUGACAGAAUCACGCUGCAUAAUUUCAGGAAAAGCAACGCUUAGCUUUUAAACCAGCUGGGUGGGUGAAGCUGUCAUUUAUGACAGUUGUCAAAAUAAGCUUUUAGAACAUGCUUUUAGAACUCUUCUGAUCGCAUUUAAACAGCUCGAUCCCAACGAAAAAUUCUUCUAUUCGUAUAUCCAAAAUUCUGAACGUAACCCGUCCUAUAGUGAGUCAAUUUUCGACCAACCACGUGUGUGAAAAAAAUUUAACACCGUGCAGUGAUUUCAGUGAACUUAGAUUUCACCUGGUGCACUGGCGUGCACCCCAUCCACGCCGGUGAAAAAGAAACCAUCAGUAUACGGACAGAAGAAAGUGAUAAUUAUAAACGGAAAUCCCGGAAAGAUCGGUAGGUCCUAUGUGGCAGAGAACAAAGGUUCUGAUAAUAGCCUCUUGGCUAUAUUCUUCCCCACCGCAGGGCUUCGCUACGCUUUCCCCCUACACUCAGCCAGAGCAGCAGCGCCUUGACGUCUUGUCGGAAAUAAGCUGAGGGGUUGGGAAUUUUUUCUUGGGAGCCCGGGGGAGUCCCGGCCCCAGCACCCAGUUGCACUCAUUUUGGAAAAUCUAUCAAAUCUACGUAACAUCUCCGUAAGCUUGCCAUCAACUUGAUGUAACCUUGCCAUAACCUCUGCGCAAACGCCACAGCCUACAGUGUAGAACCGCUAAGAGGGCCAUGAAUAUUUCUUAGGCUGCAAUCGAAGCCUAAAGCACCGUCUUUUUUUAUAAAUUAAAC